CCUACGGGUGGCAGCAGUGAGGAAUAUUGGUCAAUGGACGAGAGUCUGAACCAGCCAAGUAGCGUGAAGGAUGACUGCCCUACGGGUUGUAAACUUCUUUUAUAUGGGAAUAAAAUGUUCCACGUGUGGGAUUUUGUAUGUACCAUAUGAAUAAGGAUCGGCUAACUCCGUGCCAGCAGCCGCGGUAAUACGGAGGAUCCGAGCGUUAUCCGGAUUUAUUGGGUUUAAAGGGAGCGUAGGUGGGUUGUUAAGUCAGUUGUGAAAGUUUGCGGCUCAACCGUAAAAUUGCAAUUGAUACUGGCAGUCUUGAGUACAGUAGAGGUGGGCGGAAUUCGUGGUGUAGCGGUGAAAUGCUUAGAUAUCACGAAGAACUCCGAUUGCGAAGGCAGUUCACUGAACUGCAACUGACACUGAGGCUCGAAAGUGUGGGUAUCAAACAGGAUUAGAUACCCCGGUAGUC
RNAcentral lists this ribosomal RNA (460 nucleotides) under uncultured bacterium. Its description in RNAcentral is "partial 16S ribosomal RNA". It matches the Rfam family "Bacterial small subunit ribosomal RNA", at positions 338 to 795 of the family's 1533-position model. The record is from RNAcentral.